GAAAUGCGAUAAGUAAUGUGAAUUGCAGAAUUCAGUGAAUCAUCGAAUCUUUGAACGCACCUUGCGCUCCUUGGUAUUCCUUGGAGCAUGCCUGUUUGAGUAUCAUGAAAUCUUCAAAGUAAAUCUUUUGUUAACUCAAUUGGUUUCUACUUUGGUAUUGGAGGUCUUUGCAGCUUCACACCUGCUCCUCUUUGUUCAUUAGCUGGAUCUCAGUGUUAUGCUUGGUUCCACUCGGCGUGAUAAGUUAUCUAUCGCUGAGGACACUGUAAAAGGUGGCCAAGGUAAAUGCAGAUGAACCGCUUCUAAUAGUCCAUUGACUUGGACAAUACUUUUAUGAUCUGAUCUCAAAUCAGGUAGGACUACCCGCUGAACUUGAGC
RNAcentral lists this unclassified non-coding RNA (378 nucleotides) under plant metagenome. Its description in RNAcentral is "partial contains 5.8S ribosomal RNA, internal transcribed spacer 2, and large subunit ribosomal RNA". The stretch from base 1 to 105 matches the Rfam family "5.8S ribosomal RNA", at positions 50 to 154 of the family's 154-position model. The record is from RNAcentral.